RNAcentral lists this ribosomal RNA (624 nucleotides) under uncultured bacterium. Its description in RNAcentral is "bacterial SSU rRNA". It matches the Rfam family "Bacterial small subunit ribosomal RNA", at positions 57 to 718 of the family's 1533-position model. The record is from RNAcentral.
GCAGUCGAGGGAGAAGCUAUCUUCGGAUAGUGGAGACCGGCAGACGGGUGAGUAACACGUGGGAACAUACCGAGUAGUGGGGGAUAACAGUUGGAAACGACUGCUAAUACCGCAUACGCCCUUCGGGGGAAAGAUUUAUCGCUAUUCGAUUGGCCCGCGUUAGAUUAGCUAGUUGGUAAGGUAACGGCUUACCAAGGCGACGAUCUAUAGCUGGUUUGAGAGGAUGAUCAGCCACACUGGGACUGAGACACGGCCCAGACUCCUACGGGAGGCAGCAGUGGGGAAUAUUGCGCAAUGGAGGAAACUCUGACGCAGCCAUGCCGCGUGAGUGAAGAAGGCCUUAGGGUUGUAAAGCUCUUUCAGACGUGAUGAUGAUGACAGUAGCGUCAAAAGAAGUUCCGGCUAACUUCGUGCCAGCAGCCGCGGUAAUACGAAGGGAACUAGCGUUGUUCGGAUUUACUGGGCGUAAAGAGCAUGUAGGCGGAUUGGACAGUUGAGGGUGAAAUCCCAGAGCUCAACUCUGGAACGGCCUUCAAUACUUCCAGUCUAGAGUCCGUAAGGGGGUGGUGGAAUUCCGAGUGUAGAGGUGAAAUUCGUAGAUAUUCGGAGGAACACCAGUGGCGA